RNAcentral lists this ribosomal RNA (253 nucleotides) under uncultured bacterium. RNAcentral describes it as "partial 16S ribosomal RNA". It matches the Rfam family "Bacterial small subunit ribosomal RNA", at positions 524 to 776 of the family's 1533-position model. The record is from RNAcentral.
UACGUAGGUGGCAAGCGUUGUCCGGAUUUAUUGUGCGUAAAGCGCGCGCAGGCGGUUUCUUAAGUCUGAUGUGAAAGCCCUCGGCUUAACCGAGGAGGGUCAUUGGAAACUGGGAGACUUGAGUGCAGAAGAGGAAAGUGGAAUUCCAAGUGUAGCGGUGAAAUGCGUAGAGAUUUGGAGGAACACCAGUGGCGAAGGCGACUUUCUGGUCUGUAACUGACGCUGAGGCGCGAAAGCGUGGGGAGCAAACAGG